AAUCAACGCUGGCGGCGUGCCUAACACAUGCAAGUCGAACGCGAAAAUGGAGCAAUCCAUGAGUAGAGUGGCAAACGGGUGAGUAACACGUAGGUGACCUGCCUUCGAGUGGGGGAUAACGUCCCGAAAGGGACGCUAAUACCGCAUAAUAUGCUGUCUUUUAAGAGAGAGACAUCAAAGCCGGGGACCGCAAGGCCUGGCGCUUGAAGAGGGGCCCGCGCCUGAUUAGCUAGUUGGUGGGGUAAUGGCUCACCAAGGCAACGAUCGGUAACUGGUCUGAGAGGAUGAUCAGUCACACUGGAACUGAGACACGGUCCAGACUCCUACGGGAGGCAGCAGUGGGGAAUAUUGGACAAUGGGGGCAACCCUGAUCCAGCCAUGCCGCGUGUGUGAAGAAGGCCUCGG
RNAcentral lists this ribosomal RNA (405 nucleotides) under uncultured bacterium. RNAcentral's name for it is "bacterial SSU rRNA". It matches the Rfam family "Bacterial small subunit ribosomal RNA", at positions 32 to 420 of the family's 1533-position model. The record is from RNAcentral.